GUGCCAGCCGCCGCGGUAAUACGGAAGGUCCGGGCGUUAUCCGGAUUUAUUGGGUUUAAAGGGAGCGCAGGCGGGGCUUUAAGCGUGACGUGAAAUGCCGCGGCCCAACCGUGGAAGUGCGUCGCGAACUGGAGCUCUUGAGUUGCGGCGAUGUGCGCGGAAUUCGUGGUGUAGCGGUGAAAUGCUUAGAUAUCACGAAGAACCCCGAUUGCGAAGGCAGCGCGCAAGCCGUGGACUGACGCUGAGGCUCGAAGGUGCGGGUAUCGAACAGGAUUAGAUACCCUGGUAGUCCGCACGGUAAACGAUGGACGCCCGCUGUCGUGCCAUUAUGGUUCGGCGGCCAAGCGAAAGCGUUAAGCGUCCCACCUGGGGAGUACGCCGGCAACGGUGAAACUCAAAGGAAUUGACGGGGGCCCGCACAAGCGGAGGAACAUGUGGUUUAAUUCGAUGAUACGCGAGGAACCUUACCCGGGCUUGAACUGCACAGGAAAGAUCCAGAGAUGGUGAUGCCCUUCGGGGCCUGUGUGGAGGUGCUGCAUGGUUGUCGUCAGCUCGUGCCGUGAGGUGUCGGCUUAAGUGCCAUAACGAGCGCAACCCCUGCCUUCAGUUGCCAUCGGGUUAUGCCGGGCACUCUGGAGGGACUGCCACCGCAAGGUGUGAGGAAGGUGGGGAUGACGUCAAAUCAGCACGGCCCUUACGUCCGGGGCUACACACGUGUUACAAUGGCCGGCACAGAGAGCAGGCCGCCCGCAAGGUCGGCCGAAUCAUGAAAUCCGGUCUCAGUUCGGAUUGGGGUCUGCAACCCGACCCCAUGAAGCUGGAUUCGCUAGUAAUCGCGCAUCAGCCAUGGCGCGGUGAAUACGUUCCCGGGCCUUGUACACACCGCCCGU
Molecule: ribosomal RNA, 890 nt
Filed under: uncultured bacterium
Lineage: Bacteria
Description: bacterial SSU rRNA
Rfam family: Bacterial small subunit ribosomal RNA
Source: RNAcentral